Molecule: ribosomal RNA, 254 nt
Filed under: uncultured bacterium
Lineage: Bacteria
Description: partial 16S ribosomal RNA
Rfam family: Bacterial small subunit ribosomal RNA
Source: RNAcentral
CACGUAGGGGGCAAGCGUUGUCCGGAUUCAUUGGGCGUAAAGAGCUCGUAGGCGGUUCGAUAAGUCGGGUGUGAAACCUCCAGGCUCAACCUGGAGACGCCACCCGAUACUGUCGUGACUAGAGUCCAGUAGGGGAGCGUGGAAUUCCUGGUGUAGCGGUGAAAUGCGCAGAUAUCAGGAGGAACACCAGUGGCGAAGGCGGCGCUCUGGGCUGGAACUGACGCUGAGGAGCGAAAGCGUGGGGAGCGAACAGG